UAGUAAAAAUUCUAUCCCUUUGUAUUCUUAUAAAUUGGUGUAGCUCACAGAAUAACUAGACAGUGACAUGUGGUGUGCUAUGUAUACCUCAAACUGAAGUACAAAGACCAGUUUUUAACAGUAAAAAUGGAUAAAUUUUUUAAUA
Non-coding RNA from Gossypium raimondii (Peruvian cotton), 145 nucleotides. The record is from Rfam. Lineage: Eukaryota; Viridiplantae; Streptophyta; Magnoliopsida; Malvales; Malvaceae.